CGACUCUCGGCAACGGAUAUCUCGGCUCUCGCAUCGAUGAAGAACGUAGCGAAAUGCGAUACUUGGUGUGAAUUGCAGAAUCCCGUGAACCAUUGAGUCUUUGAACGCAAGUUGCGCCCGAAGCCGUCAGGCCGAGGGCACGCCUGCCUGGGCGUCACG
This 159-nucleotide ribosomal RNA is filed under the name Acacia fasciculifera. RNAcentral's name for it is "5.8S ribosomal RNA". It matches the Rfam family "5.8S ribosomal RNA". From Rfam's summary of the family: 5.8S ribosomal RNA (5.8S rRNA) is a component of the large subunit of the eukaryotic ribosome. Lineage: Eukaryota; Viridiplantae; Streptophyta; Magnoliopsida; Fabales; Fabaceae. The record is from RNAcentral.